AGCGAACGCUGGCGGCAGGCUUAACACAUGCAAGUCGAGCGGGCAUCCUUGUGGUGUCAGCGGCAGACGGGUGAGUAACGCGUGGGAACGUGCCCUUCGGUUCGGAAUAACUCAGGGAAACUUGAGCUAAUACCGGAUACGUGCGAGAGCAGAAAGGUUUAUUUGCCGAAGGAUCGGGCCGCGUCUGAUUAGCUAGUUGGUGAGGUUAUGGCUCACCAAGGCGACGAUCAGUAGCUGGUCUGCGAGGAUGAUCAGCCACACUGGGACUGAGACACGGCCCAGACUCCUACGGGAGGCAGCAGUGGGGAAUAUUGGACAAUGGGGGCAACCCUGAUCCAGCCAUGCCGCGUGAGUGAUGACGGCCUUAGGGUUGUAAAGCUCUUUUCUCCGGGACGAUAAUGACGGUACCGGAUGAAUAAGCCCCGGCUAACUUCGUG
This 437-nucleotide ribosomal RNA is filed under the name uncultured bacterium. RNAcentral's name for it is "partial 16S ribosomal RNA". It matches the Rfam family "Bacterial small subunit ribosomal RNA", at positions 29 to 507 of the family's 1533-position model. The record is from RNAcentral.